UGCAGUCGAGGGGCAUCAGUUUGGUUUGCUUGCAAACCAAAGCUGGCGACCGGCGCACGGGUGAGUAACACGUAUCCAACCUGCCUCAUACUCGGGGAUAGCCUUUCGAAAGAAAGAUUAAUAUCCGAUAGCAUAUAUUUCCCGCAUGGGUUUUAUAUUAAAGAAAUUCGGUAUGAGAUGGGGAUGCGUUCCAUUAGUUUGUUGGGGGGGUAACGGCCCACCAAGACUACGAUGGAUAGGGGUUCUGAGAGGAAGGUCCCCCACAUUGGAACUGAGACACGGUCCAAACUCCUACGGGAGGCAGCAGUGAGGAAUAUUGGUCAAUGGACGCGAGUCUGAACCAGCCAAGUAGCGUGAAGGAUGACUGCCCUAUGGGUUGUAAACUUCUUUUAUAUGGGAAUAAAGUUGUCCACGUGUGGAUUUUUGUAUGUACCAUAUGAAUAGGGAUCGGCUAACUCCGUGCCAGCAGCCGCGGUAAUACGGAGGAUCCGAGCGUUAUCCGGAUUUAUUGGGUUUAAAGGGAGCGUAGGCGGAUUGUUAAGUCAGUUGUGAAAGUUUGCGGCUCAACCGUAAAAUUGCAGUUGAUACUGGCAGUCUUGAGUGCAGUAGAGGUGGGCGGAAUUCGUGGUGUAGCGGUGAAAUGCUUAGAUAUCACGAAGAACUCCGAUUGCGAAGGCAGCUCACUGGAGUGUAACUGACGCU
RNAcentral lists this ribosomal RNA (702 nucleotides) under uncultured bacterium. RNAcentral describes it as "bacterial SSU rRNA". It matches the Rfam family "Bacterial small subunit ribosomal RNA", at positions 56 to 747 of the family's 1533-position model. The record is from RNAcentral.